AGUGAGCGCUGGCGGUAGGCCUAACACAUGCAAGUCGAACGGCAGCACAGUAAGAGCUUGCUCUUACGGGUGGCGAGUGGCGGACGGGUGAGGAAUACAUCGGAACCCACUUUUUCGUGGGGGAUAACGUAGGGAAACUUACGCUAAUACCGCAUACGACCUACGGGUGAAAGCAGGGGAUCUUCGGACCUUGCGCGAUUGAAUGAGCCGAUGUCGGAUUAGCUAGUUGGCGGGGUAAAGGCCCACCAAGGCGACGAUCCGUAGCUGGUCUGAGAGGAUGAUCAGCCACACUGGAACUGAGACACGGUCCAGACUCCUACGGGAGGCAGCAGUGGGGAAUAUUGGACAAUGGGCGCAAGCCUGAUCCAGCCAUACCGCGUGGGUGAAGAAGGCCUUCGGGUUGUAAAGCCCUUUUGUUGGGAAAGAAAAGCAGCAGGUUAAUACCCCGCUGUUCUGACGGUACCCAAAGAAUAAGCACCGGCUAACUUCGUG
RNAcentral lists this ribosomal RNA (492 nucleotides) under uncultured bacterium. RNAcentral describes it as "partial 16S ribosomal RNA". It matches the Rfam family "Bacterial small subunit ribosomal RNA", at positions 29 to 507 of the family's 1533-position model. The record is from RNAcentral.